UUUUGUUGGAGCCGGAAUGGACUUCUUCCCUUAUUCCGGGUGGCGAGGAAAAAAUGAGAAGAUGGGAAAGCACUUGCUCUUGGCCCCAUGCCUGGCCUUCAUUUCAGAUACUUUACCGACCGUCGUCCUAUACACACUUCUCUCUCCAUCUCCUGAUUGUAAUUUUUGUUAAAGCACAAUGAAACAUUCUCAUUAUUAUGACUCUGUAAAUAUUACUUAUAGCUGAGCCAUAUGUUGUACUAUAAGUAC
Long non-coding RNA from Lemur catta (Ring-tailed lemur), 249 nucleotides. RefSeq lists it as uncharacterized. NCBI's taxonomy places the organism in Eukaryota, Metazoa, Chordata, Mammalia, Primates, Lemuridae. The record is from RefSeq and is a predicted model, not a curated record. The transcript has 3 exons.